AAAAAAAAAAAUAAUAUAUGUACCUACAAUUAAUUUAUUAUUAUUAUAUUAUAGAACAAAAAUUUUAUACUAGAACAUAUUAUUUUAUAAAACAAAAAUAUUAAUUCAUCUGGUAUUUCAAUAACUAGGUAAUGAAUAAACAGCACAUCGAAUUUUCAUUAUAAACAUUAAACAUAAUAAUAUAAUAUUGUAAUAUCACAUAAAAAACAAUAAAUUAUAAAAUAAUAGUUACAUAAUAUAUUAUUAUCUAGUCAACAGUCAACUAAAAAUUAAAGACAGUUAAGUUAUUAUGACGACAACUGAUGUCUCAACGUCUGAUUAAAAAAAACUAUGUUGUUUAUCACAGUAAUUUUAGAAAAAUUGAAGCAGCACAAAAUAAAAGAGGAAAUUUUAAAAAUGUAAAUUGUCCUGCAAAAAUAAAAAUUAUUGUGAAAAAAACUACUGUUGACACCAUUAAGAAGGAUCAAUUUAUUAAAGCUGGCUGAAUCGAGUAAGAAUCAUUUAAAAUAAACUCACUGAAUUUCCGUUUCCAUUAAUGUGCGAGAAAAUUUAUCGUUAUAUGGAUCUUCGCUAAAAGAAUUCAAAUAAUUUUCAAUGAUGAUUUCAUCAGGCAAAUCGAAGUCGUCAUUGUUCUUUUUUCCUACAUGAGCAUUAAAGUAUGGUAAUAAACACAAUAAAAUAUAAUAAGAUAAAAAAAAAUACAAUUUCUAAUUAUAUGAAGUAAAGGUUUUCAAGAAUUAGAAAAAAGAAGUCUGGUUGAGUAAUUAUUAAGUUCUAGAUAAGAAACUAAAUAAAUAUACCACAUAAAAAUAUUGGACCUAUGGUCGAAUUAUUGCUAACCAUUCCUAAUUCUUCUAGUUUUUUUUUGUAUACUGGUAUGAUUUCAUACUUAGCUUGACGAUUCUCAUUAUUGUACUAAAAAUAAUUUAAGAAAUUAGGUAUAUGAAAUAAAUGUUAAAUAAUUAAUAAGUUUAUAUUCAGUACCAAUUUAUUGUAAGCAGCAGCCAAGCCCGCAAAGCCCACCGCAAUACCGCCAAUGAUUCAAAAUCAAAAUACGGCAGAAAACGAAUUGUUAAUAAAGUGAACGAAUUAAACACAAUGAAAUAAAUAACAUGCAUUUUGUUGAUAUUCCUAUAACGUAGUCCAGGACGACGAAAUAAAAUAUAAUCAAACUAUAAAUAUAGAUGAAAAAAUAAAUAUUAUAAUUGUCUGUAUAUGAAAUAUAUACUAUUUGAAGCUUGAGUUUACACAACAUUUUAAUUACACUUGCUACUCGCAUAUUGUCCACGAUGUGACGCAGUCGGCUUGCUUACAUGGCUCAAACCUCACUGAUCCGGUGAAACGAUUUUCACUCGACCAACUUGAAGGCACCCGAGGAAAUUUCCUAACUCCAGCAAUUGAGUUUCCGCCAGCCACUAGUUGUGAUAAUAAAUUACAAAAUGACAAGAAUAGUAAUAAUAAUGAUUGCAAGACAGUGGUGUACCUGAAUUGCCUACCCAAAACGCCGCUGAACAUAAUAUCAGUAAUGAAAAUAUGUAUUAUACACUUCGAAAUUUGUCAAAAUAUCGUUUAACCGUUCUCGAAGAAAAUUAGAAUAUGAAUAUUCCAUUCUUGGUGAUAUAUCUCGGGGUGAUCUUUCAGCAAAACCUGAUGUUCUCAUGUCUCAUCUCAUAUAGAACAAGUCUGUUUUAAAGCCUAAAAUUAUCGGUUUUUAAUUAGAAAUAUAAAAGAGUUCAAGAAUGAAAUCUGUUUCAAAACAUCAUGUCUUUCACUUGUCAGGUCAAUACUUGAAUAUUGUUCAGUAUUAUGGAAUUCGUCACAAAAGGUCUAAACGAAUCACUUGAGCGUGUUCAAAGAAGAUUUUUACGACGUAUUGGCAACAAACCACAGCUAUUAUUACUGGUGACUUUCUUUCUUCCUUUUUUGUCUACACUCUACACCAUUGAAAAUAUUUCAAGAGAGUCUACACUUGGAAUGUUUGGAUAUUAAACGCCAAAGUAACGACAUUAACUUAUGUUCAAACUUUUAAACGAAACUGCCUACAUAAUGCCCUGAGAUUCUGGAAGACUGGAACUAGAACAAUUCCAUGUCAUUUAAUAUAUAUCUCGUUACUGUUCUACCUUCUUUACAAAAAAAAUCACCGAACAUCAUAUGGAUAUAAUAAUCUAAUUGCGUACCAUAUUUCGAGUGAAUACAUAUAAUUUAAUAAAUAUCGACACAUUCAACACAAAAAAUCUGGCAUAGUGGCAUCCCUAAAUCCCUUAGUAAUCAUAUUAUGAUUCUCAAAUACUUAUCUGCCUAUAUUUGUACAUUAUUCUGUAUUUAUAAUUAUUUUUAUUACAAAUGUUAAAUAUAUAAUAUAAUUAAGUCGAUUAAUGUAGUAUAUAUAGAUCUUUUUAUUUUUUCUAUACAUACCGUAUUAUUUUUGUUAUAUAUCUUAUAUAGUGUUUGAGCCUAUACAGACUAUAAAUAAAUAGUGUACACUGUAACUGUAUCUGUAACUGCCACUACUUUUCCCCCAUUCAUGAUAUCUAUAUUCACCCUUGCUUUAGUGUAAAUCGGUAAUAGUCGGGCAAUACACCUGUGGCGUAAGUGCGUAACGGUUACGGUUUAAGUGUAUUUAGGUUAAAUUGUAUUAUAUAUUAUAAAUUAAAUUAAAUAAUCAUAUAAAUAAUGUUGAAAUAUCUAUCGAACUUCAAAGUUAUUAAGGCACUAAAUUUAAUACAAUGUCCUUAAUAUUGAAAAAAAUAAAAUAAAAUAGGUACAUAAAUUUCAUAACAUACCUAAAGCUAUUAUUGUGUGGCAUAGAUUUUUAUUUUUUGUACAAUUUUAUGCACUUGCGUAAAUUCAACUACGAGUCGGUACGGUCCGGAAUGAGCCGGGAUUCGAAAAUUAAAUUGGUUUGAUGAAAAAUGAGAGUCGAUUACCAAAAUUAGAUAUUGUAUUGAAGAUAAACUAAAAUAAUGGAAAGCCGAUUGAAGAAAUCAGGUCAAUUACAAAAACAAGAAAUUCGAUAAAUUGGAUCCAAUUGAUGAAUUUUGGUUGAUAACAAAUUAAAAAAUCUUAGUAUAAUCUAGUAUACAAUAUGUUAUAUGUUAAAUGUAUGAUAACACGUCAUUA
Aphis gossypii (cotton aphid) is the source of this 3120-nucleotide long non-coding RNA. RefSeq lists it as uncharacterized. Lineage: Eukaryota; Metazoa; Arthropoda; Insecta; Hemiptera; Aphididae. The record is from RefSeq and is a predicted model, not a curated record. The transcript has 7 exons.